RNAcentral lists this ribosomal RNA (482 nucleotides) under uncultured bacterium. RNAcentral's name for it is "partial 16S ribosomal RNA". It matches the Rfam family "Bacterial small subunit ribosomal RNA", at positions 30 to 507 of the family's 1533-position model. The record is from RNAcentral.
AUUGAACGCUGGCGGCAUGCCUUACACAUGCCAGUCGAACGGUAACAGGUCUUCGGAUGCUGACGAGUGGCGGACGGGUGCGUAAUACAUAGGAACGUGUCCAGACCCGGGGGGUAACGAGGCGCAGGCUUAGCUAAUACCGCAUACGAGCUAAGGUUGAAAGCAGGGGACCGCAAGGCCUUGCGCGGUUGGUGCGGCCGCUGGCAGAUUAGGUAGUUGGUGGGAUAAAAGCUUACCAAGCCGACGAUCUGUAGCUGGUCUGAGAGGACGACCAGCCACACUGGGACUGAGACACGGCCCAGACUCCUACGGGAGGCAGCAGUGGGGAAUUUUGGACAAUGGGCGAAAGCCUGAUCCAGCAAUGCCGCGUGCAGGAUGAAGGCCUUCGGGUUGUAAACUGCUUUUGUACGGAACGAAAAGGCUCUGGCUAAUACCUGGGGCACAUGACGGUACCGUAAGAAUAAGCACCGGCUAACUACGUG